UCCUGCUUGACGCAGGCAGUUUCCUUAGAGUUCCCAGCUUAACCUGUUGGCAACUAAGGAUGAGGGUUGCGCUCGUUGCGGGACUUAACCCAACAUCUCACGACACGAGCUGACGACAGCCAUGCAGCACCUGUCUCUGAUCCAGCCGAACUGAAGCUCUCAUUACAAGAGCGGCGAUCAGGAUGUCAAGGUCUGGUAAGGUUCUUCGCGUUGCCUCGAAUUAAACCACAUGCUCCACCGCUUGUGCGGGUCCCCGUCAAUUCCUUUGAGUUUUAAUCUUGCGACCGUACUCCCCAGGCGGGAUGCUUAACGCGUUAGCUACGACACCGAAUAUAAAACCCGACAUCUAGCAUCCAUCGUUUAGGGCGUGGACUAC
Molecule: unclassified non-coding RNA, 376 nt
Filed under: uncultured Rickettsiales bacterium
Lineage: Bacteria; Pseudomonadati; Pseudomonadota; Alphaproteobacteria; Rickettsiales
Description: contains 16S-23S intergenic spacer region
Source: RNAcentral